GGGGUUGUAGCUCAGUGGUACAGCGUUUGCCUUGCAAGCAUGAGGCCCUGGGUUUGAUCCUCAGCACCA
This 69-nucleotide transfer RNA is filed under the name Marmota marmota marmota (Alpine marmot). It matches the Rfam family "tRNA". From Rfam's summary of the family: Transfer RNA (tRNA) molecules are approximately 80 nucleotides in length. Their secondary structure includes four short double-helical elements and three loops (D, anti-codon, and T loops). Lineage: Eukaryota; Metazoa; Chordata; Mammalia; Rodentia; Sciuridae. The record is from Rfam by way of RNAcentral. RNAcentral also lists the same sequence under 2 other names.